This 949-nucleotide long non-coding RNA is filed under the name Lepisosteus oculatus (spotted gar). RNAcentral describes it as "lncRNA (ENSLOCG00000023252.1)". Lineage: Eukaryota; Metazoa; Chordata; Actinopteri; Semionotiformes; Lepisosteidae. The record is from RNAcentral.
UUUUGAUGCAGUGGUUAGCAUUGCUGGCUUGCAGUUCCAGGGCUCUGGGUUCAAUUCCUGGGGUACUAUCUGAAUUAAGUUUGUAUAUUCUUCCUUCUUCACAUACAGUAGGUUUCAUUCCAAUACAUUUCCAAUAAACCCACCAGUAUGUUUCUGGACUGUGGCGGGAAACCGGAGCACACGGAGGAACCCAUGUGACCACGAGGAAGCCAUGCAAACUCCACACAGAUAGCACCCCAGGUCCGAAAUUGAACGAUGGUAACCGCUGCGCACCAGGCUGCUGUAUUAUCGCUGAUCAGAAGCGCUAAACCGCGACACCUGCGCUGGUCUCACUCUGGGCGGAGAGCAGUCCCUGCUGUUGAAGCUGUGAUCCCACUCCGGAGUCGGGAGUACGGAUUUCGGAUGAGCCGCUUCCUUCAUUCCUGAGCGCCGAGUUUUCACACACACCCUCCUCGACAGAGCGAGAAACUCCCACCUUGGGGAGCGGGGAAUGAGACGGGGAGCGGAGCAGUCAAGAGCGGGGAGGACGAGCAGCACCAGGGCUGAUAUCAACCCGAAAGGACGGGACCGCAGAAGCCGCAGAGGACCGCAGUCACCCCGCUGCUCUCUGGAGGUGUGUGGCCGUGAGCCCGGCGUGUUGCAGGACUUGCCGACUCGCUGUACCGGGACACACGGAUCUACAGCACCGCUGCCUGGGCCUCUGGGAGGAGAGACAGGGGUCAGAGCUGCUGUCUGCUCUCAGGACAGACUGACGCUCCCAGGCACAGAUCUACAGCACCGCUGCCUGGGCCUCUGGGAGGAGAGACGGGUUAGAGCUGUUAUCCACACCACACUGUCCUCAUGGGAAACUUCAAUACCAAGGACGGGCUCCUCUCUGAAGGUAAGAGCCCGAUAUCUGCGCUCCUGCCCAGUGCGACCCUGUCCACAGGGCCUGCAUGAACACGCACUG